This 1157-nucleotide long non-coding RNA is filed under the name Mus musculus (house mouse). Its description in RNAcentral is "predicted gene 28853". Lineage: Eukaryota; Metazoa; Chordata; Mammalia; Rodentia; Muridae. The record is from RNAcentral.
AUCUUGUUUUAUUGACUAUGUGUGCCUGCUAUAUUACAACUGUCUAAGAUUACUUCCAAACUUCUUCCUGUUACAAAUAUUCGGAGACAUUCCUUCAUUCAAGAAAAGUGGCCUUGCUCUUAUGUCAUCUGACUAAAAGUUUCAUAGACCAAAGAUAACCAUCCAACCUGUUGGAAUACUGAAACAAUUGCUGCCUGCUUUCCACACACUACAUAAAAUAUGUGGAUAUCCUAAAUUCUACAAAAAAGAUUUGUAAGCAGAUCAAGCAAUACUGGGACUCUCUCUUCUCCAGAAGACAGAGACAUCCUGGCCUCCAUGCAGAGGAAUGUGUGGAUGGACAUAUAUUUAAGGAAGACACUAAACCAGAAAAUACUACAUUACACCCUCUUAAAAGACUUCUAAGAUUGUUGUCAUGCCUACCACUGACAUUCAGAUGAUGUGUAUUCUUGAUUGUGAUUUCAUGUUUGGAGCUGAUGAAGGAACCCAGGAGAAGAACAUAUGCCUGAGAAAAAGAACUAGUGUGGAAUUGUCAGCCAGGUUUUUGGUGAGUGCUCAGACUGCUUCCUGAUCCGGCACCACAUUUACUACAGUGGACAGAUGCUCUAGUCUCUGAUGAGGAGUUGCUAGCUGUAAGGAAGUACCUGGAAUGGGCUCCACUGCAUGAGGUUUGAAGUCUCCAGAGCAGCAAGGAGAGUGGGGAGUAGAACUCAUCAUCUUUAGGUCACUCAUCCCCGAUGGAUUGUUCCCAACCUUAGUAUACAGACAUGGAUGGUUGAACACAAACCUGUCAGGCUGACAACGCAAUAGACAUCUACUAAAGUCCUUGGAACCAUGUUCAGAGUGCUGCACAUCCUCCUAAAGAUGCCACGGAUGACAUGGUUCCUUGUGAUUGUUGUUCUCUUCUUGUUGUUGCUGUUUUCUUUUAACUUUUGAAGAGGAUACAAUAUUAGUCUGUUGCUAUGUUAGUCAUCUCCUGGCAUUAGAAACCAACAUGCCACUACUUAAAUGUUUUACAUUUCCUACUCUUUUUGGAAAACACAAUGUAUGCACAUCAUUUUUUCCUAUUGUUUCAAAGACAUACCACUAUGUAAUUCAACUUUACAAUUGGAAUCAUUUUGACCAAUAUUCACAUGAAUAUAAAUUUUAUGUGUAAACUU